AUUUGUUGUCCUGUUCAUUCUCUUGGUGGCUUUUCAGCCUCAUCUAGUAUGGAGAUCAGGUGGAGGGAUUACAGAUUGGAUCCAGAAGGUGGUCAACACCUCAUUGUAGGACAAACUGAUACCAAUAAUUUUGAAGGGGAAGUUAUAUCUUUUGAUGGAAACGGAUUCAUAAUUUGGAGGUCCUGCUGGGUCGUAGAUAGAUGGGCAUCACCACUCAUUUGGAUCACGGCAGUGUGUUCUACAUGAUGCUUCCUUUGGAGAUUACCCAGAUAAUUCACUUAUCCAGAAUGCAGCAACUUGACUGUUGGCAGAUGCUUGCCAUUAUAAGUAUUGAGACAACAAUGCUCCAGGCUGUGGCUGUGGCACUUCCACUUCUAAUUUAAAGUGCUAGUUUUGAUCUUUAAAGUUCUACAUGGCUUGGUGUAGGGGCAUCUCCAGGACCAUCUCCUCUACCACAUCUUGCGGAAUUAUUGAAUGGAUGACUUCCUUUCUGAAGGAAAAUACCACCAGCAGAUGGCAAUGUUUAAUAAAGUAUGUCUUCAUUUGUCAUAA
Long non-coding RNA from Pantherophis guttatus, 552 nucleotides. RefSeq lists it as uncharacterized. NCBI's taxonomy places the organism in Eukaryota, Metazoa, Chordata, Lepidosauria, Squamata, Colubridae. The record is from RefSeq and is a predicted model, not a curated record.